Hibiscus syriacus is the source of this 1684-nucleotide RNA transcript. It is a transcript of the gene named zinc finger protein GIS2-like, with no coding region annotated. The record is from RefSeq and is a predicted model, not a curated record. NCBI's taxonomy places the organism in Eukaryota, Viridiplantae, Streptophyta, Magnoliopsida, Malvales, Malvaceae. The transcript is spliced from 6 exons.
CAGUUUAGCUCUUCUUUCAUUUUUCCCUACUUUUUAUUUUUUCAGAUUGGAAUGUAGAAUUAAAGAAUCUAUUUAAUCUUCAUGAAAUUAUUUUUUGUGGAUUAAUCUGGGUUUUUACUAAAACUUUGAUGUACUGUGGGCUUCCGGUUGAUACUGAUGUUAAGGAAAUUAAGAUGAUAGAAGCUGUACUAGCAGUAACAUGUAGAACUGAGGGAAAUGGUGAUGAAGCUAGCUCUAUGGAGGUUACUGAUAUUUGUUCCACAUCUUCAGUUGAUGAAAGUUUGAUAUCGAAUAUAUUCUUUGGAACAAGCAUUGGAGAUAUGGUGUCAGCGGGGAGUAAUAUAAGUGUUGAUGGUGAGAUGGUGAGAAGUGAGCUAAAAUAUGUUUUAGCAGAAGAAACUGUUGAUGCUGGAAUGAAGGAAAUGCAUGCAGAGAAAGAUAAAUGUGUAUAAACCAUAAAAUCAUCUGCAAAAAACACUGUGCUAUGGAGCCAUCUUAAACGAAGUUAUUUUGAUCUUCCAAUUGGCAACUGGGCUAGGUUUCUCGAUUACGGAGAAAAUCAUCCAGCAGCAGCCAAAUAUAUGUUGCAAAGGCAAGGGAAAGCAUGCUUCCUAAGCAGGAAUAAUCAGCAUAUUGGAAACCAUUGCUCACAGCAGGGCCAAUAUUGUUUUGUCUGCAGAGGAACAUUCCGCCAAUCCCAUGAUUGUCCAAAGAAACAAGAAGAAAAUCAUAUUAUUUGUUUAAGAUGUGGGGAUUCGGGACAUGAUAUGUUCUCUUGUAUGAGUGAUUAUUCUUCUGAUGAUCUCAAGGUCUUUUUCAUUAUUUUUUAUGCUUUCACAAAUCACCCUUUUUUAUCUCUAUGAAUAUUUAUCCUAAUAAUUUGUUUUCUUUUUGAUGGGGAAGGGGGAUCUGAAUCUGGCUUCUUGAGAAGGCGGAGGACACAUACUCCUAUAUCUUUUGAGCCAAAUGAAAAUUCGAUGUUAUGCUUGCGAAGAUUUUGGUCAUCUUAGCUGUGUCAAACUUCCAGAUACAAGUCCAACGGAAGCUUCCUGCUAUAAUUGCAGCCAGUCCGGCCAUUUUAGAUCAGUAAGUCCAAUCUUUCCUAUCGCUUAUGGUUUGGUUUGUGCCUGUGUAAGAAACAUAUUUUUUGUAUCUUAUCGUGGAUAUUCCACUAGAACUGCUCGAAGUGUUCCAAAGUUGUUUGGGGCUCGAAAUCCCCUGCUUUAUGCUACAGGUGCAGAGAGGAAGGUCAUUUUGCACGAUCGUGCACUCUCCCUAGGAAGCAUGCUAGGAAAGUUCGUGCCGAAGUGAUAUCACCGGGCUCUAGUUCUGCUCCUCAUAAGCAUGAACCUCAAAGUGAUGCCAACAACUGCGAGGGCGAAACACAAGAAGGUCUAAUCAUCAAUAUCAUUCAAUAAAGAUGGGAGUCAUUAUUAACCUUUCUCUAGUCACCACCGUGGAGAAUUGAGGCAGAAUUCACAUGACUCCUGCAAGAUGUGGCUUUUGUCCAUGGUCAUCUGUUCCUGCAUCAAGGAAAUCCAGGUUUAAAAUGUAAGAAACCAUAGGGGAGCUUUUAUUUAACAUUCAACCCCACCAUGGAUUACAAUUUUACUUAUUUUUAUGUUAAAUUUAAAAGGGAUCAAAUUACUUCACUUUUAUAGCAGAAAGACUGAUUUGCUCUUAA